GUGCUCACUUUGGUAGCACACACACUAAAACUAGAGCGAUACAGAGAAGAUUAGCAUAGCCCCUACAUAAGGAUGACAUGCAAAUUCAAGAAGUGUUCAUAUUUUUU
This 107-nucleotide small nuclear RNA is filed under the name Dasypus novemcinctus (nine-banded armadillo). Lineage: Eukaryota; Metazoa; Chordata; Mammalia; Cingulata; Dasypodidae. The record is from RNAcentral.